CCAAAUAUUUUUCUCUAAGUAAUAUAUUUUAGGUAUAGUUCUGUAUAUUGUAUGUUUUACUUUGAAUUUGUCUCUCACCUCGUCUGUAGAGAUUGAAGUGUUGUCCUAAGAUUGUGGGAACCUGGUGUUUUUGAAUUGGAAUCUGUGGGUAUGUAACUCAGGGGAGGGUGUGGGCUUACACACUGUUAUGAUCCAUUCCGUAGACUGCUUAUUUGUCAAUGGUAUUACUUGCGUGCGUGUGUGUGUGUGUGAGUGAGCGGUGGAGUUUUUUUUUAUUGUACAUAUAUAAUGCAUUUUCUACAGCUUGGUAUCCAAAGCUUAAGCUUUAGCAGUAAAAUCAAACACAAUGUUUCUGGAUAGAUUUGACAGUUGCCAAAACAACUAAACAGUUUUUUUUCAGAGCCACUUAUGAUCUAAUGUCUUUAGUAUGGUAAUAUCUUUUUUUCUGAGAAGUUGUGAUGUGAUGAUGGUUUGUGCAAGUGGGUUUCGUAUUUAGAAAGUAUUUAACUUUAUUAAUAUUAUUUAGUAAAAUAUUUUAGUUAAACUAACAGUCGCUGCCAUACAUAAUCAGCCACACUCCUCAGGCAAAGUGAACAAUCUCUUAGAAUCAGGAUCUGGAGUGAUCUCGUUAACAUGGCUAUAAUGCAAAGUAAUAAUAUUUACAACAGUACUACUAUUUAUGUACAGCUAACUGCCAAAACAGCUUCAAUGCACUUUAAUGCGCCUUGGCAUAUAUUCUACAAGUGUCUGGAACUCUUGGAGGGAUGCAACACCGUUCUUCCACGAGUAAUUCCAUAAUUUGGUGUUUUGUUGAUGGUGGUGGAAAAUGCUGUCUCAGUCGCCUCUCCAGGAUCUCCCAUAAGUGUUCAAUUGAGUUGAGAUCUGUUGACUGACACACACACACACACACUUAAAAUGAUGGGCAACUGGGAAUUUUUCUACAUGACCCUAAGCAGGAUGAGAUGUUUUAAUUGCUUAAUUAACUCAGGAAUCACCUGUGUCGAAGCACCUGCUUUAAAUAUACUUUGUAUCCCUCAUUUACUCACGUGUUUCCUUUAUUUUGUCAAUUACCUGUAUAUAAUGCAGCUUAUAUUUCAUAUAAUUCACAAUGCAUAAAUAAAAUUUAAAAAAUAUGCACAUUAAUCCUACUUUAAUACUCAAAGUAAUUCCCUUUCCACUUAGCUACUAACGGGUAAAAAAUACCAGUAUCCCAGUUUUAACGUUUCCUUCAAUAUUUUGAUGAUCGACCAGAGAGAUGUGGAGACUGAAGGGAAAUGUGACAGGGAUAUUUGAUAAGUAAGAUAAAGUUGCUGUGUGGUUUGUUUCACUUAGUCAUUAUGGAGGUUUGGGCCAUGCGCUGCAAACCUUUUUAGAACCUUAACGAGGGGAUUUUACAUGAAAAGAGAUCAUUACUUUACUAUUCAUUGAUUAGUCAGUCAAUCCCUUUGACCUUUUGGGAGGUUGAUGUUUAUUGUCAUGAAUCUUGCCCUGGAGACAGAAUUAAGGAUUUCUGCUAGAUGGGCCAGCUGCAAAGUCAAAGUUGGCUAUAUUGAAAAAAUUCAUGAAAAAAUAUUUUUUUUACAUUUAUGGUUGGGCAUUAGGGUUAGCGGUGUGGUUAGGGUUCAAAUCUGAUGUUAUGACUUUGUGGCUGUGCCAGCUAGUGACCACUCUGCAGAGCUGCCUGCAGGGCAAGAUUCAUGACAAUAAAUGCCAACCUGCCUUUGGGAGUGGCUGUGUGGCUGCCUAUGGGACUGAAAUGAUCUGCACUUUAAAAAUAACUAUUUAUAGUUUUGUUUUGGCAACUAACAAAUCUGAACUCCAUUUUGAUUUAGAAAUGUGUGUAUGGCAUAAUAUGAAAUUAAUUUGAACUAUAUCAUUGUGAGAAAUGUUUUUACCACAGUGUAACUGUUGACUGCUGAGUGUUGAGCAGUUGUUUUCUACCUUUCUCUGUAUAUAGUCCUGAAAGCUUGUAUUCACAGUUUUGUACUUAUGAUUGGGAGGACAUUUAUUUUAAAGUGAGUUUUUUUUUAUUUUUUCAUUUUUAUGUACCAUAUACAAUUUCGUACCUUUUGUCAAAUUGGUGUAUUUGUUGUACAGCAAUUUGGAUUUGAUUGCAUGAAACACAACUUUAACGUCACCGUAACUGCUGUGAAUACUGUAUAUAUUUCUCAUCACUUUGAGUAAAGACCUACUCUGAAAAAAACUCUUAUGUUUGGUCUUUAGUCCACGUGUAUUUUGUAUUGGUCUCAGAUGUCAGUGUGUUGUCUUUUUCUCAGCUUGACUCAACACAGCAGGUGUGUUCAUUUCAGCUCACCAGGCGUAUCAGGUUAAUGUCAGUUCACCAGGCACCUACGUCUCUCUGUAUUGGACAGGUGCAUAGUAGCAGGUGCACAGUUGGGAGGAGAAGGCAUAGAGGAGAAAGCCUGGUUGGGUUCUGGUCCAGCAGUCAUGGUCUUAAGCGUUGAGGA
RNAcentral lists this long non-coding RNA (2468 nucleotides) under Salmo salar (Atlantic salmon). RNAcentral's name for it is "lncRNA (ENSSSAG00000084030.1)". The record is from RNAcentral. Lineage: Eukaryota; Metazoa; Chordata; Actinopteri; Salmoniformes; Salmonidae.